RNAcentral lists this small RNA (178 nucleotides) under Chrysemys picta bellii (western painted turtle). RNAcentral describes it as "TUC338 (ENSCPBG00000002763.1)". The record is from RNAcentral. Lineage: Eukaryota; Metazoa; Chordata; Testudines; Emydidae.
UUGACAGGGCUGUAGACUGAAGUCCCCCAUUUAUCCAGACAGCAGGUGCAGCAUAGGCAACAGCAAUUGAAGCUUCCCCAUGUUGACCUACCAGUGUAUUUGUGUCUUGACUUUAAAGAACUAAUUCUAAGAUAUGAGGAUAUUUCAGUCUCCAGGGGCCAUCUACUCUUACCCCUCA